UCCUUGUGAAGAGAGAUGAGCUCACCCUUGAGGGUAUCAAGCAGUUCUAUGUGAAUGUGGAGAAGGAAGACUGGAAGCUGGACACACUAUGUGACCUGUACGAGACCCUUGCCAUCACCCAGAGUGUCAUCUUUGUCAACACCCGCCGCAAGGUGGACUGGCUCACUGACAAGAUGAGGAGCAGGGACCACACUGUUUCUGCCACUCACGGUGACAUGGAUCAGAACACUAGGGACAUCAUCAUGAGGGAGUUCAGGUCUGGUUCAUCCCGUGUGCUCAUCACCACCGACCUGCUUGCCCGUGGUAUCGAUGUUCAGCAGGUGUCCUUGGUCAUCAACUACGAUCUCCCCACCCAGCCUGAGAACUACCUGCAUCGCAUUGGUCGUAGUGGUCGUUUCGGUAGGAAGGGUGUUGCCAUCAACUUUGUGACCCGUGAUGAUGAGAGGAUGCUGUUUGACAUACAGAGGUUCUACAACGUGGUGAUUGAGGAGCUGCCUGCCAACGUCGCUGACCUUCUGUGAUCAAGUUGAAGAAAAAACAAAACAGAACAAAAAAAAAGUGGUAAGGGGACCUGAUAAGGCUUGUUUUUGUUGAAAUAUCGCCAUAUGUGGGGUGGAGUGACAAGGUC
RNAcentral lists this long non-coding RNA (628 nucleotides) under Setaria viridis. RNAcentral's name for it is "long non-coding RNA (SVIR_LNC005035)". The record is from RNAcentral. Lineage: Eukaryota; Viridiplantae; Streptophyta; Magnoliopsida; Poales; Poaceae.